RNAcentral lists this unclassified non-coding RNA (327 nucleotides) under soil metagenome. RNAcentral describes it as "partial contains internal transcribed spacer 2 and large subunit ribosomal RNA". The stretch from base 1 to 120 matches the Rfam family "5.8S ribosomal RNA", at positions 35 to 154 of the family's 154-position model. The record is from RNAcentral.
GAUGAAGAACGUAGCGAAAUGCGAUAAGUAAUGUGAAUUGCAGAAUUCAGUGAAUCAUCGAAUUUUUGAACGCAUAUUGCACCUUAGAGUAUUCUUUAAGGUAUACCUGUUUGAGCGUCGUUUACAUAUAAAGCAUUGCUUUUUGUUAGAUUUUGAUUAGCAAUACUCAAUAUCUUAAACAUAGUGGCGUCAAUUGUUAGUCAAUACACAGUGAAAAUGUGUACUUGUCAAGCCAUUGAUCUUUGCCCAUGAUUAAUUUAUAAUACUGUUCGACCUCAAAUCAAGUAAGACUACCCGCUGAACUUAAGCAUAUCAAUAAGCGGAGGA